This 891-nucleotide long non-coding RNA is filed under the name Glycine max (soybean). RNAcentral describes it as "long non-coding RNA (GMAX_LNC000418)". The record is from RNAcentral. Lineage: Eukaryota; Viridiplantae; Streptophyta; Magnoliopsida; Fabales; Fabaceae.
UCAGGUAUCAGGUUUAUUCUCUGAAAAGGGAGACUUAUUUAACCGUUUUUUUAUCUCAUUUGAAUUUUUUUUCUGAUAAUAGAAAAAUUCUUUUUUUUCUUCUAAUUUCAUCAGUUAAUCCUUACUCUGCUGGUAAUUUCUUUUCUUCAUUCUAAAUUGGAAGCAAUUGAGAUUCAAGAAAUAAUAACAACAAAAAAUCAAACAACUCCAUAAGAUUAAUCAACAAAACAACAACCUAACCAGAACCCAACAAAUAAAAUAAUACAAAAGCAGAACAAAUAAAAGAAAAGUCCAUGCUGCGGUUGUUGAAGAUUGGAGAGGAGUAAGCAAUGGAUUGUGCGAGGGCAACACUGAGCACUGUAGAGGUCAUGAGCGUGGUGGUGGUUGCCGGUGAGGAGCGGAGGCACACAGGGAGGAGCGAAUCUCAGAUCUGAAAAAAAAAAUGAUGUUUAUGUUACGCUCUUUUCUCCUUUUCGGGUGGUUUUCCAGGUCUGCAUCGCCAAUCUCCCUUCGCUUCCAGAUCGAUUUGCACCUACGAUUCCUCCCUCAGUUUCCAGAUCUGCACUACAUGAACAUACCAUGGGCUUUGAUGGCGCUGCAUAUCAAAGAUGAUUGAUGUGUUGUGUUUCUUGGAGAACUUUCCAAAUUGUGUUUCAAUCUCACUUUUGUUGAUUCUAUUUCUUGUGACUUUGAAAUAAAUUAUGCCUCUUGUAAAAAUAGAUUUUUGUUAAAAACAAUUACUAACCAAAUAACCCAGUUAAUACUAUCCUUUCUACUUUCUAGAAGAAUUUAUUGCAACCGUAUCUUUAAUUCAAAAUCAAAGGAGAACUCAAUUGUUUGAAUCAAAUUUAAUAAUAGAAAAAAAACACUAAAAGAAAAACUGAUGAAAAA